Molecule: unclassified non-coding RNA, 378 nt
Filed under: plant metagenome
Description: partial contains 5.8S ribosomal RNA, internal transcribed spacer 2, and large subunit ribosomal RNA
Rfam family: 5.8S ribosomal RNA (bases 1-105)
Source: RNAcentral
GAAAUGCGAUAAGUAAUGUGAAUUGCAGAAUUCAGUGAAUCAUCGAAUCUUUGAACGCACCUUGCGCUCCUUGGUAUUCCUUGGAGCAUGCCUGUUUGAGUAUCAUGAAAUCUUCAAAGUAAAUCUUUUGUUAACUCAAUUGGUUUCUACUUUGGUAUUGGAGGUCUUUGCAGCUUCACACCUGCUCCUCUUUGUUCAUUAGCUGGAUCUCAGUGUUAUGCUUGGUUCCCCUCGGCGUGAUAAGUUAUCUAUCGCUGAGGACACUGUAAAAGGUGGCCAAGGUAAAUGCAGAUGAACCGCUUCUAAUAGUCCAUUGACUUGGACAAUACUUUUAUGAUCUGAUCUCAAAUCAGGUAGGACUACCCGCUGAACUUAAGC